CGGCGAGUGAAGCGGGAUGAGCUCAAAUUUAAAAUCUGGCGGUCUCAGAUCGUCCGAGUUGUAGUCUAGAGAAGCGUUUUCCGUGCUGGCCUGUGUACAAGUCCGUUGGAACACGGCGUCAUAGAGGGUGAGAAUCCCGUCCUUGACACAGAUCUCCAGUGCUUUGUGAUGCGCUCUCAAAGAGUCGAGUUGUUUGGGAAUGCAGCUCAAAAUGGGUGGUAAAUUCCAUCUAAAGCUAAAUAUUGGCGAGAAACCGAUAGCGAACAAGUACCGUGAGGGAAAGAUGAAAAGCACUUUGGAAAGAGAGUUAAACAGUACGUGAAAUUGUUGAAAGGGAAACGAUUGAAGUCAGUCAUGCUUUCCGAGACUCAGCCGGUUCUGCCGGUGUACUUCUCGGUUUGCAGGCCAGCAUCAGUUUUGGGCGGUGGAAAAGGUUGGCGGGAAUGUGGCAUCCUCGGAUGUGUUAUAGCCCGCUUUCGAAUACAUCGCCCGGGACUGAGGAACGCAGCACGCCUCUUGUAGGUCGGUCUUCGGACACGUCCGUGCUUAGGAUGCUGGCAUAAUGGCUUUAAACGACCCGUCUUGA
This 586-nucleotide ribosomal RNA is filed under the name Tausonia pullulans. Its description in RNAcentral is "eukaryotic LSU rRNA". It matches the Rfam family "Eukaryotic large subunit ribosomal RNA", at positions 87 to 657 of the family's 3401-position model. Lineage: Eukaryota; Fungi; Basidiomycota; Tremellomycetes; Cystofilobasidiales; Mrakiaceae. The record is from RNAcentral.